RNAcentral lists this ribosomal RNA (464 nucleotides) under uncultured bacterium. Its description in RNAcentral is "partial 16S ribosomal RNA". It matches the Rfam family "Bacterial small subunit ribosomal RNA", at positions 339 to 795 of the family's 1533-position model. The record is from RNAcentral.
CUACGGGACGCUGCAGUGGGGAAUAUUGCACAAUGGGCGCAAGCCUGAUGCAGCCAUGCCGCGUGUAUGAAGAAGGCCUUCGGGUUGUAAAGUACUUUCAGCGGGGAGGAAGGGAGUAAAGUUAAUACCUUUGCUCAUUGACGUUACCCGCAGAAGAAGCACCGGCUAACUCCGUGCCAGCAGCCGCGGUAAUACGGAGGGUGCAAGCGUUGAUCGGAAUUACUGGGCGUAAAGCGCACGCAGGCGGUUUGUUAAGUCAGAUGUGAAAUCCCCGGGCUCAACCUGGGAACUGCAUCUGAUACUGGCAAGCUUGAGUCUCGUAGAGGGGGGUAGAAUUCCAGGUGGAGCGGUGAAAUGCGUAGAGAUCUGGAGGAAUACCGGUGGCGAAGGCGGCCCCCUGGACGAAGACUGACGCUCAGGUGCGAAAGCGUGGGGAGCAAACAGGAUUAGAUACCCCGGUAGUC